AGUGGCGGCGGCGGCGGGUCCGGAGGUGGCGGCAGGUGGCCCCGCGCGCGGCGGCCGGCCCGGCCGGGGGCGGGCGGGAAGGUGGCGCCUCGGGCGGGGGCCGGUCCCUGCACCAGGUGACCUGUUCCGGCCCGGAUCCGGGCGGCCUCGCCAUGCAGCGGCGCGGCGCGGGGCUCGGGUGGCCGCGGCAGCAGCAGCAGCAACCCCCGCCGCUCGCGGUCGGCCCCCGGGCCGCAGCCAUGGUCCCGAGUGGCGGCGUCCCCCAGGGCCUCGGCGGCCGCUCUGCCUGCGCGCUGCUCCUGCUCUGCUACCUGAUGUGGUUGCCCUGCUUGGCUUUCCUUAUGCCUCCAGUGGAGAAAACACAGGCAUUGUCAAGAAGUUCCCGAGGUUUCGGAACCGAGAGCUGGAGGCCACUCGACGCCAGAGGAUGGAUUACCCAGUGUUUACUGUUUCAUUGUGGCUUUAUUUACUCCAUUAUUGCAAGGCCAACCUCUGUGGGAUUCUGUACUUUGUUGACUCUAAUGAGAUGUACGGCACACCUUCUGUAUUUCUUACGGAAGAGGGCUAUUUGCAUAUUCAGAUGCAUCUUGUCAAAGGGGAAGACCUUGCUG
RNAcentral lists this long non-coding RNA (611 nucleotides) under Homo sapiens (human). RNAcentral describes it as "non-protein coding lnc-CCKAR-8:1". The record is from RNAcentral. Lineage: Eukaryota; Metazoa; Chordata; Mammalia; Primates; Hominidae.